RNAcentral lists this ribosomal RNA (1517 nucleotides) under Myxobolus cordeiroi. Its description in RNAcentral is "SSU rRNA". It matches the Rfam family "Eukaryotic small subunit ribosomal RNA", at positions 227 to 1470 of the family's 1831-position model. The record is from RNAcentral. Lineage: Eukaryota; Metazoa; Cnidaria; Myxozoa; Bivalvulida; Myxobolidae.
GUUGGGUCGUAACUGGCUCAGCGUGAGGUGAAUCUAGAUAACUCUGCUGAUCGUAUGGCCUUGAGCUGGCGACAUUUCAAUUGAAUAUCCGCCCUAUCAACUUGAUGGUAAGGUAGUGGCUUACCAUGGUUGCUACGGGUGACGGGGAAUCAGGGUUCGAUUCCGGAGAGGGAGCCUGAGAAACGGCUACCACAUCCAAGGAUGGCAACAGGCGCGCAAAUUACCCAAUCCAGACACUGGGAGGUGGUGACGAGAAUUACUUGGUGGCGGCAAACGCCGUCACCUGGAAUGAGUGCCAUAUAGAACUCGCAACGAAAGCAACUGGAGGGCAAGUCUGGUGCCAGCAGCCGCGGUAAUUCCAGCUCCAGUAGUGUACCUUGAUGUUGUUGCGUUUAAAACGCUCGUAGUUGAAUCACGAAGUGGUGGUCGGUCAAUCGGCUUUGUCGCACAUCAAAACCGGUUCUCUGCCGACUCGUAUGUUCUAUCAUGCGGGUGCGGUGUGUGAUUCGGGGUGCGGCGGGUCGAUGCUCAGCCGGCCGCCACUAAUUUCGUGUGAGGAUGGCAGUUGACCUUUAGUGCGUCGACUAUCGUGUCUCACAGGGUGUGCCUUGAAUAAAUCAGAGUGCUUAAAGCAGGCCCCUCGCCUGAAUGAUAAAGCAUGGAACGAACAAACGUGGAUUAGUACACUGCGCGGCUGUCUCAGUUUGUCUUUGGCAGGCUGGGGUCAGUCGGUGRUGUACAGCACCAACCACCAGUAUCGGAUGUUGGUUCUCCGUAUUGGGGUGAUGAUUAAGAGGAGCGGUUGGAGGCAUUGGUAUUUGGCCGCGAGAGGUGAAAUUCUUGGACCGGCCAAGGACUAACAAAUGCGAAGGCAUCUGCCUAGACCGUUUCCAUUAAUCAAGAACGAUAGUGGGAGGUUCGAAGACGAUCAGAUACCGUCCUAGUUCCCACCGUAAACCAUGCCGACUCGGGAUCAGUUUGGUGAUACUACCUUACGCUCGAGAUUGGUCCCCCUGGGAAACCUCAAGUCUUUCGGUUACGGGGGGAGUAUGGUCGCAAGGCUGAAACUUAAAGGAAUUGACGGAAGGGCACCACCAGGGGUGGAGCCUGCGGCUUAAUUUGACUCAACACGGGACAUCUCACCCGGGCCGGACAUCGAUAGGAUAGACAGACUAAUAGAUCUUUCUUGAUACGGUGAUUGGUGGUGCAUGGCCGUUCUUAGUUCGUGGAGUGAUCUGUCAGGCCUAACCCGGUAACGUACGAGACCAUAAUCUCCAUUUGAGGUGCGAAAGAAUGCCUGCAGUCAGUGGGAAGCGCAAGUGGACCGCCUGGCGGCAGGAUUCAGGCAACUCGAUUCGGCAGGGUGUCCAUUGUCGAUCAUGGCUAACACUGUGGUCGGUGACGGAAGCUCGCGUCGCAGUCGUCAACUCCCUUUCGCCAAACAGGGGGCGGCUUCGGUCGUUAACUGUGUCAUGGAGAGACAAUUGUGAAUACCCCAAAGACAACGGAAGUAUGAC